GAGGUUGUGGCUCAGAGGUAGAGUGUUUGCCUAGCACAUGCAGGGACCUGGGUUUGAUACUCAGCACCACA
RNAcentral lists this transfer RNA (71 nucleotides) under Marmota monax (woodchuck). Its description in RNAcentral is "tRNA.Ala". Lineage: Eukaryota; Metazoa; Chordata; Mammalia; Rodentia; Sciuridae. The record is from RNAcentral.